Molecule: long non-coding RNA, 422 nt
Organism: Eriocheir sinensis (Chinese mitten crab)
Lineage: Eukaryota; Metazoa; Arthropoda; Malacostraca; Decapoda; Varunidae
Exons: 3
Source: RefSeq, a predicted model, not a curated record
CCCUUAAUGACGGAGCUUCAGUUGGAACUUGAAUCGCGUCUCGCCCGCAAGAUGGCACACCAAUCAUGACCAGUGGAGCGGAGGGAGUGGCUGUGGAAAGACGUCCAUGAUUUCGCCACAGUGAGUUUCCUAUCAUUUAUCGUUUCCCGGUACUGCUAGAAGAUGUCUCAGCAUGUCUUCUUGUCUGCCACGCGCCACAAUAAGAGUCCCAGGAAAAUCUCACUGUCGGGUUCACCACACUCUCCCCCACACUCAAAGGUUUACUCUUUCCCAGGAAGUUGAAGGGCAUGGUGAUGAGCGCCCCCGCCACACACAUUGUCAUCCGCAGCCACCCCAGCCGGUCCACACGAAACGACUUGAUUACACCAAAAAUAUACAUAUAAAAGUUGACGGCUCCAACAAACGCUGCAAUCACAUUGAUG